AUGGCAACUUGCUUAUCUAACAUGAUUAGGGAAUAUUGCUUGGAUUUUAUUGGUAUUCAGGAAACAAUGAAGAAGGACUUUUCCUCUAAGAUCUUGAGGAAAAUUGAUCCGGAAAAAUCAUUUUGUUGGAAAUGGAUCCCUUCUGUUGGCAAAUCCGGGGGUAUCUUAUGCGGUAUUAAACAUGACACUUUCGAUAUCAGGUCUUGUAUUGUAGGAAGGUGUGUUAUGAAAUUUGAGUUAUGGGACAAAGAAAAAAUGAACUAUUCUAUACUUGUAGUGUAUGGAUCUGCACAUGAGGAAUUUAAAGUAGAGUUCUUAACUGAGUUUUUUGACAUGUGUAGUAACAUUUCCUGUCCGUAUAUUGCGGGGGGAGAGUUUAAUAUCCUUAGACAUGUUGGUGAGAAGAAUAAGAAAACUAGACUUUGCCAUUCUUCUCAUAUGUUUAAUUCUAUCAUUAAUUCCUUUUCUCUAAGAGAAGUAGACAUGAAUGGUGAUAUGUAUACUUGGUCAAACAAUCAACAAAACCCCACCCUUGAGAAAUUGGACAGGGUUCUUAUGUCCAACUCUUGGGAGAGCCUAUUCCCUUUGACUUUUGUUAGGAAAUUGGUGAAAGAGAUUUCAUAUCACUGUCGCCUGAUCUUGAAUACUGAGGAUCUGAUCCCUGCUCCUGUGCGGAGGAGAGAAUUUAGAUUUCACUUGAAUUGGCUAAAAAAUCCCGAUUUCCUUCCCUUAAUUGCUAAGGUCUGGAUGAAACUGGUUAACUCCAAUGAUCCAAUUGAUAUUUUGAACAUUAAACUAAAGAGAUUUAAAAAGUUCUUCAAAGGUUGGGGAUCCAACAUGUUUGGGCACGCUAGAAAAAAAAGAGAUUGUUAA
Molecule: ribosomal RNA, 873 nt
Filed under: Triticum aestivum (bread wheat)
Lineage: Eukaryota; Viridiplantae; Streptophyta; Magnoliopsida; Poales; Poaceae
Description: partial small subunit ribosomal RNA
Source: RNAcentral